GUUUAAGUAGUUUAUGAAAAAUAUAGAUCAGUGGAAUCUAAGUUAUGAGUACAAACACAUUUUAAACA
Molecule: transfer RNA, 68 nt
Filed under: Homola orientalis
Lineage: Eukaryota; Metazoa; Arthropoda; Malacostraca; Decapoda; Homolidae
Description: tRNA-His
Source: RNAcentral